Molecule: unclassified non-coding RNA, 226 nt
Filed under: Glomus sp.
Lineage: Eukaryota; Fungi; Glomeromycota; Glomeromycetes; Glomerales; Glomeraceae
Description: partial contains 5.8S ribosomal RNA and internal transcribed spacer 2
Rfam family: 5.8S ribosomal RNA (bases 1-71)
Source: RNAcentral
GUGAAUCAUCGAAUUUUUGAACGCAAAUUGCACUCUCUGGUAUUCCGGAGAGUAUGCCUGUUUGAGUGUCAGUUUAAAUAAAAAUCGGUGUGGUUGCUGCCUUUCGUGGUGACGCACCGGAUUUGGGUCGUCUUGACUUCGGUUAAGUGAGCUAACAUUUUGCAUGCUUUUUUUGGAACGUAUUUAAAUGAUUUUACGUACAUUUGCGAUCUAUCAUAUUCGGUUU